CCUACGGGAGGCAGCAGUGGGGAAUUUUGGACAAUGGGCGAAAGCCUGAUCCAGCAAUGCCGCGUGAGUGAAGAAGGCCUUCGGGUUGUAAAGCUCUUUUGUCAGGGAAGAAACGGUGAAAGCUAAUAUCUUUUGCUAAUGACGGUACCUGAAGAAUAAGCACCGGCUAACUACGUGCCAGCAGCCGCGGUAAUACGUAGGGUGCAAGCGUUAAUCGGAAUUACUGGGCGUAAAGCGUGCGCAGGCGGUUUUGUAAGUCUGAUGUGAAAUCCCCGGGCUCAACCUGGGAAUUGCAUUGGAGACUGCAAGGCUAGAAUCUGGCAGAGGGGGGUAGAAUUCCACGUGUAGCAGUGAAAUGCGUAGAUAUGUGGAGGAACACCGAUGGCGAAGGCAGCCCCCUGGGUCAAGAUUGACGCUCAUGCACGAAAGCGUGGGGAGCAAACAGGAUUAGAUACCCUGGUAGUCCACGCCCUAAACCGAUGUCUACUAGUUGUCGGGUCUUAAUUGACUUGGUAACGCAGCUAACGCGUGAAGUAGACCGCCUGGGGAGUACGGUCGCAAGAUUAAAACUCAAAGGAAUUGACGG
RNAcentral lists this ribosomal RNA (586 nucleotides) under uncultured bacterium. RNAcentral describes it as "bacterial SSU rRNA". It matches the Rfam family "Bacterial small subunit ribosomal RNA", at positions 338 to 916 of the family's 1533-position model. The record is from RNAcentral.